CCUACGGGAGGCAGCAGUGAGGAAUAUUGGUCAAUGGGCGGGAGCCUGAACCAGCCAAGUAGCGUGCAGGAUGACGGCCCUACGGGUUGUAAACUGCUUUUAUACAGGAAUAACGCGCCUUACGUGUAGGGCUUUGCAUGUACCGUAUGAAUAAGGACCGGCUAAUUCCGUGCCAGCAGCCGCGGUAAUACGGAAGGUCCGGGCGUUAUCCGGAUUUAUUGGGUUUAAAGGGAGCGUAGGCAGCCUGACAAGCGUGCUGUGAAAGUGCCGGGCUCAACCCGGGCCUUGCAGCGCGAACUGGCGUGCUUGAGUCCGCGGAAAGCAGGCGGAAUUCGUCGUGUAGCGGUGAACUGCUUAGAUAUGACGAAGAACCCCGAUUGCGAAGGCAGCUUGCUGCAGCGGAACUGACGCUGAUGCUCGAAAGCGCGGGUAUCGAACAGGAUUAGAUACCCUUGUAGUC
This 460-nucleotide ribosomal RNA is filed under the name uncultured bacterium. Its description in RNAcentral is "partial 16S ribosomal RNA". It matches the Rfam family "Bacterial small subunit ribosomal RNA", at positions 338 to 795 of the family's 1533-position model. The record is from RNAcentral.